This 441-nucleotide ribosomal RNA is filed under the name uncultured bacterium. Its description in RNAcentral is "partial 16S ribosomal RNA". It matches the Rfam family "Bacterial small subunit ribosomal RNA", at positions 338 to 795 of the family's 1533-position model. The record is from RNAcentral.
CCUACGUGGGGCAGCAGUGGGGAAUAUUGCACAAUGGGCGAAACCCUGAUGCAGCAACGCCGCGUGGGUGAAGGAGCGUUUCGGCGCGUAAAGCCCUGUUAGCGGGGAAGAAGAAAGACGGUACUCAAUCAAGAAGCCCCGGCUAACUACGUGCCGACAGCCACGGUUAUACGUAGGGGGGCAGCGUUAUCCGGAAUUACUGGGCGUAAAGGGAGCGUAGACGGUGAGGUAAGACUGAUGUGAAAGCCCCCGGCUCAACCGGGGAAGUGGUUUGGGAACUGUGUAGCUUGAGUAUGGGAGAGGUAAGCGGAAUUCCUGGUGUAGCGGUGAAAUGCGUAGAUAUCAGGAGGAACACCGGUGGCGAAGGCGGCUUACUGGACCAUAACUGACGUUGAGGCUCGAAAGCGUGGGGAGCGAACAGGAUUAGAUACCCGGGUAGUC